This 570-nucleotide ribosomal RNA is filed under the name uncultured bacterium. RNAcentral describes it as "bacterial SSU rRNA". It matches the Rfam family "Bacterial small subunit ribosomal RNA", at positions 336 to 919 of the family's 1533-position model. The record is from RNAcentral.
UUCCUACGGGAGGCAGCAGUGGGGAAUUUUCCGCAAUGGGCGAAAGCAUGACGGAGCAAUACCGCGUGAGGGAAGACUGCCUAUGGGUUGUAAACCUCUUUUUUCAGGGAGGAAUCAAUGACGUGUACCUGAAGAAUAAGCAUCGGCUAACUCCGUGCCAGCAGCCGCGGUAAGACGGAGGAUGCAAGUGUUAUCCGGAAUCACUGGGCGUAAAGCGUCUGUAGGUGGUUUAAUAAGUCAACUGUUAAAUCUUGAGGCUCAACUUCAAAAUCGCAGUCGAAACUAUUAGGCUAGAGUAUAGUAGAGGUAAAGGGAAUUUCCAGUGGAGCGGUGAAAUGCGUAGAUAUUGGAAAGAACACCGAUGGCGAGAGCACUUUACUGGGCUAUUACUAACACUCAGAGACGAAAGCUAGGGUAGCAAAUGGGAUUAGAUACCCCAGUAGUCCUAGCCGUAAACAAUGGAUACUAGAUGUUGAACAGAUCGACCUGUGCAGUAUCAAAGCUAACGCGUUAAGUAUCCCGCCUGGGAAGUAUGCUCGCAAGAGUGAAACUUAAAGGAAUUGACGGAAU